CCUUGUACACACCGCCCGUCACACCAUGGGAGCGGGUUCUGCCAGAAGUAGUUAGCCUAACCGCAAGGAGGGCGAUUACCACGGCAGGGUUCGUGACUGGGGUGAAGUCGUAACAAGGUACCC
This 123-nucleotide ribosomal RNA is filed under the name uncultured bacterium. Its description in RNAcentral is "partial 16S ribosomal RNA". It matches the Rfam family "Bacterial small subunit ribosomal RNA", at positions 1379 to 1501 of the family's 1533-position model. The record is from RNAcentral.